GACGAACGCUGGCGGCGUGCUUAACACAUGCAAGUCGAACGGAAAGGCCCUGCUAUUGUGGGGUGCUCGAGUGGCGAACGGGUGAGUAACACGUGAGUAACCUGCCCUUGACUUUGGGAUAACUUCAGGAAGCUGGGGCUAAUACCGGAUAGGAGCUCCUGCUGCAUGGUGGGGGUUGGAAAGUUUCGGCGGGUGGGGAUGGACGGGCGGCUUACCAGCUAGUUGGUGGGGUAGGGGCUUACCAAGGCUGUGAAUGAUAGGCGGCCCGAGAGGGGGAACGGCGACAAUGGGACUGAGAUACGGACCAGACUCCUACGGGAGGCAGCAGUGGGGAAUAUUGCACAAUGGGCGGAAGCCUGAUGCAGCAACGCCGCGUGCGGGAUGACGGCCUUCGGGUUGUAAACCGCUUUCGCCUGCGACGAAGCGGGAGUGACGGUAAUGGGUAAAGAAGCACCGGCUAACUACGUG
Molecule: ribosomal RNA, 468 nt
Filed under: uncultured bacterium
Lineage: Bacteria
Description: partial 16S ribosomal RNA
Rfam family: Bacterial small subunit ribosomal RNA
Source: RNAcentral